AGUCGGGGCCUGUUUGACUUGAGAAAACAGAUGUUUCCCAACCCAGCUUCUGUCAGCAAAAGCGUCCAAAGCAGCAGAAUCGAAUUACCCAAUGACCUGCCAAGUACAGUGCAGGGGGAAAUUAACUGGCAUAAUUCAUUAGCUGGAUGGAUGGUACCAGUGUCGCACCUCUCCCACGAGACCGAGAAUCCUCUUCCCCAUCUUCAGAGGAGGCAUUUACGGCCAGAUACCCGGUGGAGGGUUCUGGGGGUUCUCUGGCCAUCUCGGGCUAGGUGGAGGAUGCUGCCCCUCCGCGGGUCCACCCCAUGCUUCACGGACAGAGUCAAGUGAGGAGCUGCAUGCCAGAAACCCGAUGGGGCGUGCCGGGACUUCCCUGGCCAUCUCGGGCGAGCUGGAGGCUGCUGUCGGGCCCUCGGCGGGUCCACCCCGUGCUUGACAGAGCCGAGUCGAGUGAGGAGGAGCUGCACGCCAGAAACCCGGUUGGGCGUGCCGGGCCUCCCCCGGCCAUCUCGGGCGAGCUGGAGGCUGCUGCCCGCCCCUCGGCGGGUCUACCCCGUGCUUGACAGAGCCCAGUCGAGCGAGGAGGAGCUGCCCGCCAGAAACCCGGUGGGGCGUGCCGGGCCUCCCCCGGCCAUCUCAGGCGAGCUGGAGGCUGCUGCCCGCCCCUUGGCCAGAAACCCGGUGGGGCGUGCCGGGCCUUCCCCGGCCAUCUCGGGCGAGCUGGAGACUGCUGCCCGCCCCUUGGCGGGUCUACCCCGUGCUUGACAGAGCCCAGGUGAGCGAGGAGGAGUUGCCCGUGAGUCCUGGGGGCGGGGACGGGGUGGGGAGGAGUGGGAGAACCCUCGGAGUCGCCCUCGUCGUCGCCCGGGAAGGCUCGCGGACCGAGCUGCUGCCCAGCCAGGCCCUGGAGGAAAAGGCCUCCUCCUGUCUUCCCCCAAAUGCGCAGGAGGAGGAGGAGGAUUCGGCUUCGCAGGAGCUUUCCCCAGAGGCCAGCCGGGUCACCUUCUUUUUCCCCUCAUUGUCCCUAACCUUUUCUCCUGGUCUGCCCUUUUUCCCUGUUGUGACCUUUUCCCCAGCCAAACCAUUUCUCCUGGCCUCACCUGUUCGCCUGGGCAAACCUUUUCCCCUCAUCUGACCUUUUCCUCUAGCCGAACUUUCUCCCUGGCCUCACCUUUUUCCCUAGGCAAUCCUUUUCCCUUAGCGAAAACUUUUCU
Molecule: long non-coding RNA, 1214 nt
Filed under: Ornithorhynchus anatinus (platypus)
Lineage: Eukaryota; Metazoa; Chordata; Mammalia; Monotremata; Ornithorhynchidae
Description: lncRNA (ENSOANG00000042503.1)
Source: RNAcentral